Molecule: ribosomal RNA, 253 nt
Filed under: uncultured bacterium
Lineage: Bacteria
Description: partial 16S ribosomal RNA
Rfam family: Bacterial small subunit ribosomal RNA
Source: RNAcentral
CACGUAGGCACCAAGCGUUGUCCGGAUUUAUUGGGCGUAAAGAGCUCGUAGGCGGUUCAGUAAGUCGGGUGUGAAAACUCUGGGCUUAACCCGGAGAGGCCACUCGAUACUGCUGAACUUGAGUACGGUAGGGGAGUGGGGAAUUCCUGGUGUAGCGGUGAAAUGCGCAGAUAUCAGGAGGAACACCGGUGGCGAAGGCGCCCCUCUGGGCCGAAACUGACGCUGAGGAGCGAAAGCGUGGGUAGCAAACAGG